GCCCGAUUAGCUCAGUGGUAGAGCGCGUCACUCGUAUCAGCGCGCACAUGAUGAGGUCGGUUGUUCGAAUCAGCCAUCGGGCA
Stereum hirsutum FP-91666 SS1 is the source of this 83-nucleotide transfer RNA. It matches the Rfam family "tRNA". From Rfam's summary of the family: Transfer RNA (tRNA) molecules are approximately 80 nucleotides in length. The record is from Rfam. Lineage: Eukaryota; Fungi; Basidiomycota; Agaricomycetes; Russulales; Stereaceae.